CUGUACUCCAGCCUGGGCGAUGGAGUAAGGCUCCAUCUCAAAAAAAAAAAAAAAAAAGAUUUUACCAAUUUUUAGUAGAUGGUCCAAAAAAACAGAACAAAAAGAUUUGUAGUAGAUAGUCUAUUAUGAACUUAUUUUAACUAAAAAAUUUUUCUUCCUGUCUAGGAAGUGAAAGUACUUAGCAUUGAUCAAAGAAAUUUCAAAUUACGAUCAAUUGGGUGGGGAGAAGAAUUUUCAUUGUCCAAGCACCCUCAGGGAACAGAAGUCAAAGCAAUAACAUAUUCAGCAAUGCAGGUCUAUAAUGAAGAGAAGCCGGAAGUUUUUGUGAUCAUUGACAUUUAAGACACCAAAAAAUAAAAGACUCCUAUGAAGAA
RNAcentral lists this small RNA (374 nucleotides) under Pan troglodytes (chimpanzee). RNAcentral's name for it is "retained intron". The record is from RNAcentral. Lineage: Eukaryota; Metazoa; Chordata; Mammalia; Primates; Hominidae.